Molecule: unclassified non-coding RNA, 911 nt
Filed under: uncultured Synechococcus sp.
Lineage: Bacteria; Bacillati; Cyanobacteriota; Cyanophyceae; Synechococcales; Synechococcaceae
Description: partial may contain 16S ribosomal RNA, 16S-23S ribosomal RNA intergenic spacer, and 23S ribosomal RNA
Rfam family: tRNA (bases 349-421)
Source: RNAcentral
GUCGAAGGUGGGGCUGAUGACUGGGGUGAAGUCGUAACAAGGUAUCCGUACCGGAAGGUGCGGAUGGAUCACCUCCUAACAGGGAGACAAACAACGAUUUUGAUGCCUAAGUACUUUUAUUCUUAGGCCGAAAUCCUGUCACCUUAGGUCGAUCGGUACCUCAGUGUUGAAGCAACAGAGUUAACAGAGAUGUUGAUGCGUGUUGUGGAGAUGAUCAGUUCCUAAACUUUGUCUAGGUCACACCCCACAAGGGUUGAGUUUUCCUGGGCCAUUAGCUCAGGUGGUUAGAGCGCACCCCUGAUAAGGGUGAGGUCCCUGGUUCAAGUCCAGGAUGGCCCAUUCGGUGUUGGGGGUUUAGCUCAGUUGGUAGAGCGCCUGCUUUGCAAGCAGGAUGUCAGGAGUUCGAGUCUCCUAACCUCCACUGACCGAACUCAAUCUCCGGUUUUACAUUGAUAAAUGGAGAACCACUCGAUUGUGAUGUGUGAUUUAGAUGUGUCCGCUGGAUGACCCCAGCUUCCUGUCAUUCCAAAUGACCAUGAUAGUGAUGAUUUUCAUGUGAUUUGGUUGAUAAGAUGCUGGGCUCGAAUCAAACAUUCAAGCAAUUGAUGGUUUGAUUUGAAGUCUGGCAGAACCUUGACAACUGCAUAGGUGAGUCUGGAUAAAACAAAGCAUCUUACAGAUGCAUUGUUUUGAAUUCUGUCUUCUGAAAGGGAGAUGGAUUCAGGACAAUGAAAAUUCUUUUGAGCAAGAGCCGAGACUCUUGAGCGUUCUUUAAUUCGUGUCGAGCGAAUCAGAGUUUGAUUUUGUUUUAGGAGUCAACGUAAGUUGAUGAUUAAAACUUGAGAAUCUGCUUUCAACGGCGGUAAUCGCUCAGGAGAUUAAUUGGUCAAGCUACAAAGGGCUCACGGCGG